Molecule: transfer RNA, 84 nt
Filed under: Candidatus Woesearchaeota archaeon
Lineage: Archaea; Nanobdellati; Candidatus Woesearchaeota
Description: tRNA-Leu
Rfam family: tRNA
About the family: Transfer RNA (tRNA) molecules are approximately 80 nucleotides in length. Their secondary structure includes four short double-helical elements and three loops (D, anti-codon, and T loops).
Source: RNAcentral
ACCGGCGUCGGUUAACCCGGUAUACCGCAAAGUUAAGACCUUUGUAUCCCUCGGGAUGUCUGGGUUCAAAUCCCAGCGCCGGCG